UACGGGGGGGGCAAGCGUUGUUCGGAAUUACUGGGCGUAAAGGGCUCGUAGGUGGCCAACUAAGUCGGAUGUGAAAUCCCUCGGCUUAACCGGGGAACUGCGUCUGAUACUGGAUGGCUUGAGUUUGGGAGAGGGAUGCGGAAUUCCAGGUGUAGCGGUGAAAUGCGUAGAUAUCUGGAGGAACACCGGUGGCGAAGGCGGCAUCCUGGACCAACACUGACACUGAGGAGCGAAAGCCAGGGGAGCAAACAGG
RNAcentral lists this ribosomal RNA (253 nucleotides) under uncultured bacterium. RNAcentral describes it as "partial 16S ribosomal RNA". It matches the Rfam family "Bacterial small subunit ribosomal RNA", at positions 524 to 776 of the family's 1533-position model. The record is from RNAcentral.